CCCUUAUGCUGCUAUCCUUUUAUAAUCCAUAAUUUUGGGGCCAGGUUGUCCGAUAACUUGGCAAAGUGAAAACAGUAUGAGUGUAUGAUGGUUUGGGAACAUAGGUGUAGAAGCACAAAUCGAUGAAAGGAUAGCAGCAUAUGGCAACUUAACUAUUUGCUUUUCCAAAGCAAAUGAAGAGUGCAUAAUUAUUAAAACAGGGUAUUUUUGGAGAUGGACAGGCAGGCUGAUGGGGAGGAGGUAGGCCUGGAUUUUGAACUUAAAAACUCAAAUGGGUUUUUGGGUUCAAAAUGUGUAUUUUUCCCUUAUGCUGCUAUCCUUUUAUAAUCCAUAAUUUUGGGGCCAGGUUGUCCGAUAACUUGGCAAAGUGAAAACAGUAUGAGUGUAUGAUGGUUUGGGAACAUAGGUGUAGAAGCACAAAUCGAUGAAAGGAUAGCAGCAUAUGGUAACUUAACUGUUAGUUUUCCAAAGCAAACGAAGAGUGUAUAAUUAUUAAAAACUUUAUUUUUGGAGAUGGACAGGCAGGCUGUAGGGGAGGAGGUAGGCCUGUAUUUUGAACUUAAAAACUCAAAUGGGUUUUUGGCUUCAAAAUGUGUAUUUUUCACUAAUGCUGCUAUCCUUUUAUAAUCCAUAAUUUUUGGGCCAGGUAGUCUAAUUACUUGGCGACAUAAUAACAGUAUGAGUGCAUGGUUUGGGAAAAUAGAUGCAGAAGGACAAAUGGAUGAAAGGAUGGCCGCAUCUGGCAACUUUACUGUUUGCUUUUUUUCAAUGCAAAGGAGGAGCGUAUAAUUAUUAAAAAGGGUAUUUUUGGAGAUGGACAGGCAGGCUGUAGGGGAGGAGGUAGGCCUGUAUUUUGAACUUAAAAACUCAAAUGGGUUUUUGGGUUCAAAAUGUGUAUUUUUCACUAAUGCUGCUAUCCUUUUAUAAUCCAUAAUUUUUGGGCCAGGUAGUCUAAUUACUUGGCGACAUAAUAACAGUAUGAGUGCAUGGUUUGGGAAAAUAGAUGCAGAAGGACAAAUGGAUGAAAGGAUGGCCGCAUUUGGCAACUUUAUUGUUUGCUUUUUUUCAAUGCAAAGGAGGAGCGUAUAAUUAUUAAAAAGGGUAUUUUUGGAGAUGGACAGGCAGGCUGUAGGGGAGGAGGUAGGCCUGUAUUUUGAACUUAAAAACUCAAAUGGGUUUUUGGGUUCAAAAUGUGUAUUUUUCCCUUAUGCUGCUAUCCUUUUAUAAUCCAUAAUUUUUGGGCCAGGUAGUCUAAUUACUUGGCGACAUAAUAACAGUAUGAGUGCAUGGUUUGGGAAAAUAGAUGCAGAAGGACAAAUGGAUGAAAGGAUGGCCGCAUCUGGCAACUUUACUGUUUGCUUUUUUUCAAUGCAAAGGAGGAGCGUAUAAUUAUUAAAAAGGGUAUUUUUGGAGAUGGACAGGCAGGCUGUAGGGGUGGAGGUAGGCCUGUAUUUUGAACUUAAAAACUCAAAUGGGUUUUUGGGUUCAAAAUGUGUAUUUUUCCCUUAUGCUGCUAUCCUUUUAUAAUCCAUAAUUUUGGGGCCAGGUUGUCCGAUAACUUGGCAAAGUGAAAACAGUAUGAGUGUAUGAUGGUUUGGGAACAUAGGUGUAGAAGCACAAAUCGAUGAAAGGAUAGCAGCAUAUGGCAACUUAACUAUUUGCUUUUCCAAAGCAAAUGAAGAGUGCAUAAUUAUUAAAACAGGGUAUUUUUGGAGAUGGACAGGCAGGCUGAUGGGGAGGAGGUAGGCCUGGAUUUUGAACUUAAAAACUCAAAUGGGUUUUUGGGUUCAAAAUGUGUAUUUUUUCCCUUAUGCUGCUAUCCUUUUAUAAUCCAUAAUUUUGGGGCCAGGUUGUCCGAUAACUUAGCAAAGUGAAAACAGUAUGAGUGUAUGAUGGUUUGGGAACAUAGGUGUAGAAGCACAAAUCGAUGAAAGGAUAGCAGCAUAUGGCAACUUAACUGUUUGUUUUCCAAAGCAAACGAAGAGUGUAUAAUUAUUAAAAACUGUAUUUUUGGAGAUGGACAGGCAGGCUGUAGGGGAGGAGGUAGGCCUGUAUUUUGAACUUAAAAACUCAAAUGGGUUUUUGGGUUCAAAAUGUGUAUUUUUCCCGUAUGCUGCUAUCCUUUUAUAAUCCAUAAUUUUGGGGCCAGGUAGUCUAAUUACUUGGCGACAUAAUAACAGUAUGAGUGCAUGGUUUGGGAAAAUAGAUGCAGAAGGACAAAUGGAUGAAAGGAUGGCCGCAUCUGGCAACUUUACUGUUUGCUUUUUUUCAAUGCAAAGGAGGAGCGUAUAAUUAUUAAAAAGGGUAUUUUUGGAGAUGGACAGGCAGGCUGUAGGGGAGGAGGUAGGCCUGUAUUUUGAACUUAAAAACUCAAAUGGGUUUUUGGGUUCAAAAUGUGUAUUUUUCACUAAUGCUGCUAUCCUUUUAUAAUCCAUAAUUUUUGGGCCAGGUAGUCUAAUUACUUGGCGACAUAAUAACAGUAUGAGUGCAUGGUUUGGGAAAAUAGAUGCAGAAGGACAAAUGGAUGAAAGGAUGGCUGCAUCUGGCAACUUUACUGUUUGCUUUUUUUUCAAUGCAAAGGAGGAGCGUAUAAUUAUUAAAAAGGGUAUUUUUGGAGAUGGACAGGCAGGCUGUAGGGGAGGAGGUAGGCCUGUAUUUUGAACUUAAAAACUCAAAUGGGUUUUUGGGUUCAAAAUGUGUAUUUUUCCCUUAUGCUGCUAUCCUUUUAUAAUCCAUAAUUUUUGGGCCAGGUAGUCUAAUUACUUGGCGACAUAAUAACAGUAUGAGUGCAUGGUUUGGGAAAAUAGAUGCAGAAGGACAAAUGGAUGAAAGGAUGGCCGCAUCUGGCAACUUUACUGUUUGCUUUUUUUCAAUGCAAAGGAGGAGCGUAUAAUUAUUAAAAAGGGUAUUUUUGGAGAUGGACAGGCAGGCUGUAGGGGUGGAGGUAGGCCUGUAUUUUGAACUUAAAAACUCAAAUGGGUUUUUGGGUUCAAAAUGUGUAUUUUUCCCUUAUGCUGCUAUCCUUUUAUAAUCCAUAAUUUUGGGGCCAGGUUGUCCGAUAACUUGGCAAAGUGAAAACAGUAUGAGUGUAUGAUGGUUUGGGAACAUAGGUGUAGAAGCACAAAUCGAUGAAAGGAUAGCAGCAUAUGGCAACUUAACUAUUUGCUUUUCCAAAGCAAAUGAAGAGUGCAUAAUUAUUAAAACAGGGUAUUUUUGGAGAUGGACAGGCAGGCUGAUGGGGAGGAGGUAGGCCUGGAUUUUGAACUUAAAAACUCAAAUGGGUUUUUGGGUUCAAAAUGUGUAUUUUUUCCCUUAUGCUGCUAUCCUUUUAUAAUCCAUAAUUUUGGGGCCAGGUUGUCCGAUAACUUAGCAAAGUGAAAACAGUAUGAGUGUAUGAUGGUUUGGGAACAUAGGUGUAGAAGCACAAAUCGAUGAAAGGAUAGCAGCAUAUGGCAACUUAACUGUUUGUUUUCCAAAGCAAACGAAGAGUGUAUAAUUAUUAAAAACUGUAUUUUUGGAGAUGGACAGGCAGGCUGUAGGGGAGGAGGUAGGCCUGUAUUUUGAACUUAAAAACUCAAAUGGGUUUUUGGGUUCAAAAUGUGUAUUUUUCCCGUAUGCUGCUAUCCUUUUAUAAUCCAUAAUUUUGGGGCCAGGUAGUCUAAUUACUUGGCGACAUAAUAACAGUAUGAGUGCAUGGUUUGGGAAAAUAGAUGCAGAAGGACAAAUGGAUGAAAGGAUGGCCGCAUCUGGCAACUUUACUGUUUGCUUUUUUUCAAUGCAAAGGAGGAGCGUAUAAUUAUUAAAAAGGGUAUUUUUGGAGAUGGACAGGCAGGCUGUAGGGGAGGAGGUAGGCCUGUAUUUUGAACUUAAAAACUCAAAUGGGUUUUUGGGUUCAAAAUGUGUAUUUUUCACUAAUGCUGCUAUCCUUUUAUAAUCCAUAAUUUUUGGGCCAGGUAGUCUAAUUACUUGGCGACAUAAUAACAGUAUGAGUGCAUGGUUUGGGAAAAUAGAUGCAGAAGGACAAAUGGAUGAAAGGAUGGCUGCAUCUGGCAACUUUACUGUUUGCUUUUUUUUCAAUGCAAAGGAGGAGCGUAUAAUUAUUAAAAAGGGUAUUUUUGGAGAUGGACAGGCAGGCUGUAGGGGAGGAGGUAGGCCUGUAUUUUGAACUUAAAAACUCAAAUGGGUUUUUGGGUUCAAAAUGUGUAUUUUUCCCUUAUGCUGCUAUCCUUUUAUAAUCCAUAAUUUUUGGGCCAGGUAGUCUAAUUACUUGGCGACAUAAUAACAGUAUGAGUGCAUGGUUUGGGAAAAUAGAUGCAGAAGGACAAAUGGAUGAAAGGAUGGCUGCAUCUGGCAACUUUACUGUUUGCUUUUUUUCAAUGCAAAGGAGGAGCGUAUAAUUAUUAAAAAGGGUAUUUUUGGAGAUGGACAGGCAGGCUGUAGGGGAGGAGGUAGGCCUGUAUUUUGAACUUAAAAACUCAAAUGGGUUUUUGGGUUCAAAAUGUGUAUUUUUCCCUUAUGCUGCUAUCCUUUUAUAAUCCAUAAUUUUGGGGCCAGGUUGUUCGAUAACUUGGCAAAGUGAAAACAGUAUGAGUGUAUGAUGGUUUGGGA
This is a long non-coding RNA of Hyla sarda, 4608 nucleotides long. RefSeq lists it as uncharacterized. The transcript is spliced from 3 exons. The record is from RefSeq and is a predicted model, not a curated record. NCBI's taxonomy places the organism in Eukaryota, Metazoa, Chordata, Amphibia, Anura, Hylidae.